This is a long non-coding RNA of Engraulis encrasicolus (European anchovy), 687 nucleotides long. RefSeq lists it as uncharacterized. The record is from RefSeq and is a predicted model, not a curated record. NCBI's taxonomy places the organism in Eukaryota, Metazoa, Chordata, Actinopteri, Clupeiformes, Engraulidae. The transcript has 4 exons.
GUUGUGAAUCUGUUGAUGUAUUUAUUUGCACUCAUGUAGUAAUGCACUGUCAUGAAAGCUAAAUUGUGACAUAACUUUUUUCCUCUGUCAGUUGGCUAUGACAUAUUUAUUGACCAGAUAAGUGGAAGUGCCUGCUUAUGCAGACCCAGUGUAUACAUGCUGGCAUUGUUUCAUGUGUUUAUGCUAUGGCAAGUUUGACACAGUAUUUGCUAUAGUGAUAUUUAUUUUUUUGUGACAUUUAAUCUCAUCUAAAUCUCAUUAUGUUUUUGAACAGUGUUGGGUAGCCAGCCACCCAUGCACGAUGACAAUGCCAGCAGCGGGCACCCAUGGGGAUGGACCCAGGAGUGGAGGAUGACCCAGUAUGAUGAAAGUUCAGCCCACUCACUGACACCAGUGACACAGUAUUGACCAGAUCUCCUGGAAGUGCCUCCUGACGCAGACCCAGUUCUUGGGUAGCCAGCCACCCAUGCACGUUGACACAGCCAGCACCGAGCACCCAGGGGGAUGGACCCAGGAGUGGAGGACGGCCCAAUAGGAUGAAAAUUCAUCCCACUCACUGUUGACACCAAUGAGGGAACAAGAGAGGCUAGGCAACCCCAUCUUUUGACAACGGUCACCACCAGUCUAUUUCUAAAAAUGUUAUUAUUAUAUAUCUGUUAUAUAACAAUGUAUUUGUGUAUGGAUUAU